GAGGGGUAUUAGGAGCUUGCUCCUAAGAGACCGGCGCACGGGUGCGUAACGCGUAUGCAAUCUACCUUAUACAGGGGAAUAGCCCAGAGAAAUUUGGAUUAAUGCCCCAUGGUAUUAUAGAGUGGCAUCACUUUAUAAUUAAAGUUCCAACGGUAUAAGAUGAGCAUGCGUCCCAUUAGUUAGUUGGUAAGGUAACGGCUUACCAAGACAAUGAUGGGUAGGGGUCCUGAGAGGGAGAUCCCCCACACUGGUACUGAGACACGGACCAGACUCCUACGGGAGGCAGCAGUGAGGAAUAUUGGACAAUGGGCGCAAGCCUGAUCCAGCCAUGCCGCGUGCAGGAAGACGGUCCUAUGGAUUGUAAACUGCUUUUAUACAGGAAGAAACAACUCUACGUGUAGAGUCUUGACGGUACUGUAGGAAUAAGGAUCGGCUAACUCCGUGCCAGCAGCCGCGGUAAUACGUAGGAUCCAAGCGUUAUCCGGAAUCAUUGGGUUUAAAGGGUCCGUAGGCGGUCUUAUAAGUCAGUGGUGAAAUCUCCUAGCUCAACUAGGAAACUGCCAUUGAUACUGUAAGACUUGAAUUUUUGUGAAGUAACUACAAUAUGUAGUGUAGCGGUGAAAUGCUUACAUAUUACAUGGAAUACCUAUUGCGAAGGCACGUUACUAACAAACGAUUGACGCUGAAGGACUAAAGCGUGGGG
Molecule: ribosomal RNA, 703 nt
Filed under: uncultured bacterium
Lineage: Bacteria
Description: SSU rRNA
Rfam family: Bacterial small subunit ribosomal RNA
Source: RNAcentral